CGAACGUUGGCGGUAUGCUUAACACAUGCAAGUCGUACGUGAAAGCUUCCUUCGGGAAGUGAGUAAAGUGGCGCACGGGUGAGUAACACGUGGAUAAUCUACCCGAUAAUCUGGGAUAACAUUUCGAAAGGAAUGCUAAUACCGGAUAAGCCUACAGGGUCUUCGGACCUGGUAGGAAAAGGUGGGGAACUUCGGUCCUACUGUUAUCGGAUGAGUCCGCGUCCCAUUAGCUAGUUGGUAGGGUAACGGCCUACCAAGGCAACGAUGGGUAGCUGGUCUGAGAGGAUGAUCAGCCACACUGGAACUGAGACACGGUCCAGACUCCUACGGGAGGCAGCAGUGGGGAAUUUUUGCGCAAUGGGCGAAAGCCUGACGCAGCAAUACCGCGUGAGUGAUGAAGGCUCUCGGGUCGUAAAGCUCUGUCAGAGGGGAAGAACCUCCUGUCGUAUAAUACACGGCAGGCCUGACGGUACCCUCAGAGGAAGCACCGGCUAACUCCGUG
This 502-nucleotide ribosomal RNA is filed under the name uncultured bacterium. RNAcentral's name for it is "bacterial SSU rRNA". It matches the Rfam family "Bacterial small subunit ribosomal RNA", at positions 30 to 507 of the family's 1533-position model. The record is from RNAcentral.